AGGAUGGGAGGAAGCUUACUCUGAGAUGCUUGCAGUCAGAAAAUACCCAAAUAUAUCUUGAGAGAGGCUGAGGAGGAAAAGAAACAAACAAACAAACAAACAAAAAGGGCAGGAAAGAGGAAAAAUGAUUAACUAGCAGCAGUAAGGAGGAGGCUGGGUGGUUUCAGGCAGCAGUUUUACAUGUUAUUAUUAUUAUUAUUAUUUUAUUUAUUUAUUUGCAGAUCCCUGAGUAGCUAAUUUUCACCUUGUGCCAGUCAGGUGGGAGCCUCCUGAGCAGCAGCAACCCAGCAGCCUGCAGGGCCCAGGUGAUACCUGCUGCAGGCUAAGGGUCUUGUGGAGGCUUCUGGACUCAUCCUGUCCCGUGCUGGGGACCUGUAGGGAUGAGUACACAAAGGUGACGGAGCCAGCAGGCUGAGGGAUGAAUGCUUGUGUCUGGAAAUGGCAGCAGAAGGGGAGAGCAGGGGGAGCAGGAGAAUGAUUUCUGUGAUGCUUUUCCUCAAAUAUCACAGAUUGUAAGCCAUCCCACAUAUGUGCCAUGAAGUCCUAAUAAAUAUAUAUCAGACUUAAAAAGCUCCCACAGAUGUCACUAUUUCAAUGCAACCUACUUAUUCUUCAGAAGUAGAAAAUGAGAAACAUCUCCAGUCUGAAACACCUACCCAUCAAGAGAUUUCCAAUUGCUUGUUCUAUUUUCGAGAGGGUUGCCAAAUGGAGAAGCCCCACUUUAGGAGCAGGGCUUCACACCUGAACAAAGUACUGGACAUCCCAGAAGGGCAAAUAUUGAAGCUUUCAAGGACUGGUAAUUUGAACUAAGAGCAUCUCAACACAUAUACAUACAUUGCAGGAGACAUGCAUGGGGAAAGCAAAGCUUUUUUUUCUUUGGCUUUACAUAUUUUCACAACCUACUUUAAAAUAACUGAAUGGCAGUGUAACAUCUGCUCUGGUAAGCAUUCCUGCGUUAUUUUCAGGUUAAGGCAUACACUGUGGAUUCAAACAAGCAGCAAUGGCGCACUGAGGUCAGCUUAAGCUUGAGGUUUUUUUCAACAGCAAUGUUGUGUGCUGUGAGCCAGACUAAGUGUGCAGCGCUGAGGACAAAUGAGUAGUAGCAAAUUCCUCAGGUAAUACCGUGACCUGUGCAGUUGAGGUGCUCAGUUCUUCACCAGACCCCAUCUCAUCCAUUGGCUCAUGAUGGCAACGUCUGCCCCAAAGGAAGCUCUCUCCUUUUGUCCUACAGCUGGGCUUGCUGGCAAAGACCUGCAGCGUCUCAGUGCCGAGAAAUCAGCUCUGGCAGUUGCACAGCAGCCGUUCCUCUCUUGAGGCCGUGCAUGGGACGUAAGCCACGCUUGGCAGGAGGGGGUUUCCCUUGCUGUAGGUAAGAUACUAGGCAAGGCUCAGGCUACAGAGAAUGCCAUGCUCUGAGCACCGACAGCUUUGCAUGGUGACGGUGAGAGCUGUGUGUCUAAUUUGGGCAGCAGCAGAUGGGUCUCUUAAGACAGCAAGAGACUGGCACUACCAGCAGAGUGCAGGGAUAACGUGUUCCUUCUGCAGCAGAGAUUUCACAAGUGACUCAUGACUCUUCUGCAGCUCACGCUGGCAUCACUUGGUCUCUGUAACCGUGACUGCACAUUUUAAAGGUCAGGAUGUAAAGCUUCUUCACCUGCUUCUUCUACACACCUCUGAGUCCGUAUUUAUUCUGAAGGAUGUUUGGUGUACACGGUAGCUCCUUACAGUCUGAGCAGGAUUUUGUUCUUCUCCUGCUGGCAUAAAUGUAGAGAUGAUGAAAUAAUCUAGCCAAUAAAUCUCUCAGGAGAGCUUGAUUCCUGGGUGCUCGUUGCAUACACAAUUAUCAUGUACAUGACUAACUCCAGGCAGGCCUGGUGCUUGGGCUCUGGCGUGUCGGAGCCACACCUACAUUCCUCCUGCAGGCCCUCAUUUAAAAACAGAUUUCAAUUAACUUUAAUCAGAUGUUUAAGGUGGCCUAGGUCUUUUCUUCUGUGUGUAGGUGUUUAACUUCCACUGCCCUACACUUAAGGAUGUACUUCACUGCUACCUAGAAGAGGGGCUGAUUUGGGCAUGUGCUUGAAUGGCCUUGUGCCCAGUGGUCUAACUUAAGUAGGACUUCCCAAGACAGCAAAACCCCGGUGUUGGCAGAACUGUGCACACAGAUUGCCUGUAUGCACACGUUCAUUGGCUCGUUGUGAAAGCCCACAGCAAUGGUUCACCUGAAAUUCCCUGCAGUCACUGGCCUCUCUGCAAUAUCUGAAAGCCCAAAGCUGAAUGCUUUUGGAAAUCCCAUCACUUUGUUCUCCCCAGAG
This is a long non-coding RNA of Oxyura jamaicensis (ruddy duck), 2312 nucleotides long. RefSeq lists it as uncharacterized. The record is from RefSeq and is a predicted model, not a curated record. The transcript has 2 exons. NCBI's taxonomy places the organism in Eukaryota, Metazoa, Chordata, Aves, Anseriformes, Anatidae.